UACGGGGGGGGCAAGCGUUGUUCGGAAUUACUGGGCGUAAAGGGCUUGUAGGUGGCCAACUAAGUCAAACGUGAAAUCCCUCGGCUUAACCGGGGAACUGCGUCCGAUACUGGAUGGCUUGAGGUUGGGAGAGGGAUGCGGAAUUCCAGGUGUAGCGGUGAAAUGCGUAGAUAUCUGGAGGAACACCGGUGGCGAAGGCGGCAUCCUGGACCAAUUCUGACGCUGAGUGAGCGAAAGCCAGGGGAGCAAACGGG
RNAcentral lists this ribosomal RNA (254 nucleotides) under uncultured bacterium. RNAcentral describes it as "partial 16S ribosomal RNA". It matches the Rfam family "Bacterial small subunit ribosomal RNA", at positions 524 to 776 of the family's 1533-position model. The record is from RNAcentral.